GACGAACGCUGGCGGCGUGCCUAAUACAUGCAAGUCGAACGCAGUGGGGACGGGUGAGUAACACGUGGGUAACCUCCCAUCAGAGGGGAUAACACUUGGAAACAGGUGCUAAACCGAUAUUGAAUGAUGGACCCGCUGUGCAUUAGCUAGUUGGUGGGGUAAUGGCUUACCAAGGCCACGAUGCAUAGCCGAGCUGAGAGGUGGACCGGCCACACGGGGACUGAGACACGGCCCAGACUCCUACGGGAGGCAGCAGUAGGGAAUCUUCGGCAAUGGACGAAAGUCUGACCGAGCAACGCCGCGGGAGUGAAGAAGGUUUUCGGAUCGUAAAACACUGUUGGUAGGGAAGCGGUAUCUAACCAGAAAGCCACGGCUAACUACGUGCCAGCAGCCGCGGUAAUUC
This 403-nucleotide ribosomal RNA is filed under the name uncultured bacterium. RNAcentral's name for it is "partial 16S ribosomal RNA". It matches the Rfam family "Bacterial small subunit ribosomal RNA", at positions 28 to 526 of the family's 1533-position model. The record is from RNAcentral.